GGCCCCUUGGUCAAGCGGUUAAGACUCCAGAUUUUCAUUCUGGCAACAUGGGUUCGAUUCCCGUAGGGGUCA
This 72-nucleotide transfer RNA is filed under the name Ruminococcus sp. RNAcentral's name for it is "tRNA-Glu". It matches the Rfam family "tRNA". Rfam says of the family: Transfer RNA (tRNA) molecules are approximately 80 nucleotides in length. Their secondary structure includes four short double-helical elements and three loops (D, anti-codon, and T loops). The record is from RNAcentral. Lineage: Bacteria; Bacillati; Bacillota; Clostridia; Eubacteriales; Oscillospiraceae. RNAcentral also lists the same sequence under 2 other names.